This 84-nucleotide transfer RNA is filed under the name Echinostoma caproni. It matches the Rfam family "tRNA". Rfam says of the family: Transfer RNA (tRNA) molecules are approximately 80 nucleotides in length. Their secondary structure includes four short double-helical elements and three loops (D, anti-codon, and T loops). Lineage: Eukaryota; Metazoa; Platyhelminthes; Trematoda; Plagiorchiida; Echinostomatidae. The record is from Rfam by way of RNAcentral.
GGCCUCGUUGCUCAGCUGGUAGAGCGUGCGCUGUGCAAAACAGUAGGUGGCGUCCAUGCGUGGGUCCGAAUCCCAUCGAGGCUA